RNAcentral lists this ribosomal RNA (418 nucleotides) under uncultured bacterium. RNAcentral describes it as "bacterial SSU rRNA". It matches the Rfam family "Bacterial small subunit ribosomal RNA", at positions 70 to 510 of the family's 1533-position model. The record is from RNAcentral.
GCUUGCUAUAAUUGUCAGCUAAGUGGCGCACGGGUGAGUAAUGUAUAGAUAACCUGCCCUUAAGAAAGGAAUAACAGUUGGAAACGACUGCUAAUGCCCUAUAUGCCUUUAAUACAUAAGUAUGCAAGGGAAACGCUUUAGUGCUUAAGGAUGGGUCUGUAUGGUAUCAGCUUGUUGGUGAGGUAAUGGCUCACCAAGGCUAUGACGCCUAACUGGUUUGAGAGGAUGAUCAGUCACACUGGAACUGAGACACGGUCCAGACUCCUACGGGAGGCAGCAGUGGGGAAUAUUGCACAAUGGACGAAAGUCUGAUGCAGCAACGCCGCGUGGAGGAUGACACAUUUCGGUGCGUAAACUCCUUUUAUAUAGGAAGAUAAUGACGGUACUAUAUGAAUAAGCACCGGCUAACUCCGUGCCA